RNAcentral lists this long non-coding RNA (1140 nucleotides) under Equus asinus (donkey). Its description in RNAcentral is "lncRNA (ENSEASG00005034987.1)". The record is from RNAcentral. Lineage: Eukaryota; Metazoa; Chordata; Mammalia; Perissodactyla; Equidae.
AGGCACACGGCCGGCAGAGAGAGCCAGAGCAGUGGGUCUGAUCCAGUUUUAGCCAUUCUGGACUUUCACAGAUUUACUCAUCUGUAAAAUGGGCCUUAUGGAUGAGCUGCCACUGCCAGAAGCUGCUGAUAGCUUUGGCACCUCAGCUGACAAAUGUGCUGUCAGGACAUGCAUCCUCUCCACAGUCAGACGUGCUGCGGUGGCGGGGACGAACAGGGCCCUGGAACCCCACCGUCCUGGCAGGAACCCUGGGCUGUGCCAGCACGUGUUUCAUCUACUUGGGCCAGAGUCCAGCGGGAAGAAGCAGAGGUUGCAGGCUCCGGCUCUGCCCAGCUGCCCCUCCCACCCAGACCCUGGGGAGAAGAGCAGCAAAUAGUUCCCCGGAAGUCAGAUCCCUGAGGGUGCCCAUCACGACUUACAAAAGAUGAAGCCCGACCUUCCACAGGGUUCUGAGGGGAAGCCAGGCAAAGACAAAGGAAUGCAGACCCAGGAGGCCGAGAGCGGCCCACAGCUUACUCUCCCUGCGCAUCCCAGCUGCUGCUACCCGACCCUUAUAAGUCACAUGUCUCAUCAAGAAACUUGGGCAGCUGGAUAAUCUAUUGAUGAUUAAGAUAAAGCUUUCUGCCAAGCUUUUCAGGCUCCAGGAUUCAUUUUAAGUGGAGAACCCCGUUCUGCAAAAGAAAGCCACAGAACUUGAUGAUAGCAGCCCCCACCCCUGCUACGGUUUGCCUGGGAGUCAGGACUGCCUUGGUCCUCCCUACCAGAACCAAAAGGAGGGCUGGGUUGGCCAGCGAGGCUGCUCCGGGCUCUCAGCCUUGCCCAGGUGGCCGCUGUGGGUUCAGCUGGGCACCGGCGCCCAUCUUCAUGGGCUUUAUGUAAGAACAAAGGUUUUGAAUUAGAACAUGCACAAUUACAUACAUUGAUUGACAGACUUCUCUUUCUGAUAUCGGGGCUCUUGUGUGUAUCCGUUUGGUUACAUAAAAGAUUCUAUUAAAAAGAAGUUUGUAAACCGCUAAUCUGCAAUUCUAUUGCAUGAUUUGUAGUUGAGAAAGCUGGCGCCACAGGGUGGGGUGACCGGCCAGAUGUGGCUCCAGUUUCCUUCUCCAUGUCACAUGCCCCUCCUCCUCCUCUAGACUCAUU